CAUUGCCAUUUACAUUUAAUCUCAUAUUUUCUUCCAGUUUCUACAGUUUCCUGACUUUACACUUUAGCAAACUGAAAAUUGUUUUAGGAAAUUAAGUUCCCAGAACAACAAAAUCAAACCUUUAUCAUUAGCAAAGCAGACUGACUCUGGCAGAAACAAAGAACUUUGCAAAAACAAAAUUAAUUCCACAACAUUGUGAGAUAAUAUGCAUCUAUAAAAUGCAGUUUUCCAAUUUUCUCUCUUUUGUCCCACUUAGGAAAAAAACAGAACACUUCAGCAGCAAGUUUAUGGAAGCUCUGUUACAACAAGAGGCUUUCAAAGGUAGUUCCUUCAAAAAUUUCAUCUACCACUGUUUAAGCUUAGCCUGGGACGUGGAUGCACAGAAAGAGUAUGCAAUAGCAUCUGAGUGACUAUUGAGCAAAGUCAUCACAGCUGGAGAACAGGAAAUAACCUGAGGGUGAAUGGAGUCAGAAAAUUAUCUGUUCUAGGAUCCAGAAGGUCUCCUUGGCUGCUGGGGUCUGCAGAGGCAGUGUAUGAAUGAAUUAAAACAAAAGUAAGAAUAAAAGGCAAUGCAUUUGAACA
RNAcentral lists this long non-coding RNA (582 nucleotides) under Cyanistes caeruleus (blue tit). RNAcentral's name for it is "lncRNA (ENSCCEG00000011583.1)". Lineage: Eukaryota; Metazoa; Chordata; Aves; Passeriformes; Paridae. The record is from RNAcentral.